RNAcentral lists this ribosomal RNA (433 nucleotides) under uncultured bacterium. Its description in RNAcentral is "partial 16S ribosomal RNA". It matches the Rfam family "Bacterial small subunit ribosomal RNA", at positions 29 to 507 of the family's 1533-position model. The record is from RNAcentral.
AACGAACGCUGGCGGCAUGCCUAACACAUGCAAGUCGAACGAGACCUGCGGGUUUGGUGGCGCACGGGGGCGCAACGGGGGGGGACCUGCCCUUAGGUCUGGAAUAACUCCCCGAAAGGGGUGCUAAUACCGGAGAAUGUCCUCGGAACGAAGAUUUAUCGCCAUUGGAUGGGCCUGGGUUGGAUUAGCUAGUUGGUAGGGUAAAAGCCAACCGAGGCGACGAUCCAUAGCUGGGUUGAAAGGAGGAUAAGCCGCACUGGUACUGAGGCACGGCCAAGAAUCCUACGGGAGGCAGCGGUGGCGUGUAUUAGACAGUCGGCGUGAGCCUGGUCCAGCUUUGCCGCGUAAGUGAUUAAGGCCUUAGGGUUGUAACGCUCUUUUACCCGGGAUGAUAAUGACAGUACCGGAAGAAUAAGCUCCGGCUAACUCCGUG